This is an RNA transcript of Phalaenopsis equestris, 796 nucleotides long. RefSeq lists it as uncharacterized. The record is from RefSeq and is a predicted model, not a curated record. NCBI's taxonomy places the organism in Eukaryota, Viridiplantae, Streptophyta, Magnoliopsida, Asparagales, Orchidaceae. The transcript is spliced from 4 exons.
AUUAAUCAAUCUUCAGUUCCUUCCGGAAGAUCGAAUCUGACGGCAUUGAGAGAAACGAAUUCUCCAUCAACCCAUUGUAGGAAUUGAUGAGAACAGGCCUAAAGCCCUCUGCCGUCAUCUCCGGUCUCAACCCUAGUAAACCUCUCCAAUCCCCUUUCACACGGGCAUGGCUUGGCGUGGCUCCAUCUCUAGGUCGAUCAUCUCCGUUGCGCGUUCGUCUCCGUCUUCCUUCCGAUCACCGGCUGCUCUACCACGUCUCCGCACUCCUCGCAUUCAACGCACUCGCCUCUUCUCUGCCUCGAGGGUGCCGUCUGAGCUAGGAAGCGCAUCAUCACUUCUUCCCCUGCAUAGCGUGAUCGCCAUUCCGCGACUCACCUCUCACCUCUCGGUCAGCGCGAGGGCGUGCUGUGAGCUGUCUCAGGGGAAGAAUGGUAAAGAUGGGUGAUUGAAGAGAGUGGUCAACUUUCUGUCAGGCGUUUCAUGCUGCUAUUCAAAUGCUGUACUUGAAGGCAGAAAUAUUGGCUUAGGAAAAAAAGGAAGCCGCCAACGUUCGAAUGACACAUUGGAGUUGUUUUGGUGGCUUUAGGAGGGAGGAAUUCCUCAAAUAUAGGCAUCUGGUAUUUUGAUAAAAAAGUUGACUUCAAUUUGAGUUAAUUCUCGGUGAAAAAUAAUUUGUGUAAUUUAUGAAAUGUUUGCAGAUGCUAUUUUCUGUUUGUGUUAUUUAUUUAUUCCCAAGACAAACCAGUUUUGUGUUUUUGUUCUUUUGAUAAAUCAUAAGAGUUCUGCUUUCACUCCA